RNAcentral lists this transfer RNA (85 nucleotides) under Desulforhopalus sp. RNAcentral describes it as "tRNA-Leu". It matches the Rfam family "tRNA". From Rfam's summary of the family: Transfer RNA (tRNA) molecules are approximately 80 nucleotides in length. Their secondary structure includes four short double-helical elements and three loops (D, anti-codon, and T loops). Further hydrogen bonds mediate the characteristic L-shaped molecular structure. tRNAs have two regions of fundamental functional importance: the anti-codon, which is responsible for specific mRNA codon recognition, and the 3' end, to which the tRNAs corresponding amino acid is attached (by aminoacyl-tRNA synthetases). tRNAs cope with the degeneracy of the genetic code in two manners: having more than one tRNA (with a specific anti-codon) for a particular amino acid; and 'wobble' base-pairing, i.e. permitting non-standard base-pairing at the 3rd anti-codon position. The record is from RNAcentral. Lineage: Bacteria; Pseudomonadati; Thermodesulfobacteriota; Desulfobulbia; Desulfobulbales; Desulfocapsaceae. RNAcentral also lists the same sequence under 1 other name.
GCCGAAGUGGUGGAAUUGGUAGACGCGCACGCUUGAGGGGCGUGUGGGGAGACCCGUGCCGGUUCGACUCCGGCCUUCGGCACCA